AAUACCGCAUACGUCCUACGGGAGAAAGCAGGGGACCUUCGGGCCUUGCGCUAUCAGAUGAGCCUAGGUCGGAUUAGCUAGUUGGUGAGGUAAUGGCUCACCAAGGCUACGAUCCGUAACUGGUCUGAGAGGAUGAUCAGUCACACUGGAACUGAGACACGGUCCAGACUCCUACGGGAGGCAGCAGUGGGGAAUAUUGGACAAUGGGCGAAAGCCUGAUCCAUCCAAGGCGCGUGUGUGAAGAAGGUCUUCGGA
Molecule: ribosomal RNA, 255 nt
Filed under: uncultured bacterium
Lineage: Bacteria
Description: partial 16S ribosomal RNA
Rfam family: Bacterial small subunit ribosomal RNA
Source: RNAcentral